This 509-nucleotide ribosomal RNA is filed under the name uncultured bacterium. RNAcentral's name for it is "bacterial SSU rRNA". It matches the Rfam family "Bacterial small subunit ribosomal RNA", at positions 28 to 536 of the family's 1533-position model. The record is from RNAcentral.
GAUGAACGCUAGCGGCAGGCUUAACACAUGCAAGUCGAGGGGCAGCACGUCUUCGGAUGGUGGCGACCGGCGCACGGGUGAGUAACGCGUAUGCAAUCUACCUUUUACAGGGGCAUAGCCCGGGGAAACCCGGAUUAAUAUCCCAUGGUACCAUUUUAUAGCAUUAUGAGAUGGUUAAAGCUUCGGCGGUAAAAGAUGAGCAUGCGUCCUAUUAGCUUGAUGGUAAGGUAACGGCUUACCAUGGCUUUGAUAGGUAGGGGUCCUGAGAGGGAGACCCCCCACACUGGUACUGAGACACGGACCAGACUCCUACGGGAGGCAGCAGUGAGGAAUAUUGGACAAUGGGCGAGAGCCUGAUCCAGCCAUGCCGCGUGCAGGAAGACGGCCCUAUGGGUUGUAAACUGCUUUUAUACGGGAAGAAACACCCCUUCGUGAAGGGGCUUGACGGUACCGUAUGAAUAAGGAUCGGCUAACUCCGUGCCAGCAGCCGCGGUAAUACGGAGGAUACC